CAGGAAGUGCUUGCACUUNGCUGACGAGUGGCGGACGGGUGAGUAAUGCUUGGGAACUUGCCUUUGCGAGGGGGAUAACAGUUGGAAACGACUGCUAAUACCGCAUAAUGUCUACGGACCAAACGGGGCUUAGGCUUCGGCGCAGAGAGAGGCCCAAGUGAGAUUAGCUAGUUGGUGGGGUAAAGGCUCACCAAGGCGACGAUCUCUAGCUGUUCUGAGAGGAAGAUCAGCCACACUGGGACUGAGACACGGCCCAGACUCCUACGGGAGGCAGCAGUGGGGAAUAUUGCACAAUGGGGGGAACCCUGAUGCAGCCAUGCCGCGUGUGUGAAGAAGGCCUUCGGGUUGUAAAGCACUUUCAGUUGUGAGGAAAAGUGAGUAGUUAAUACCUGCUCACCGUGACGUUAACAACAGAAGAAGCACCGGCUAACUCCGUGCCAGCAGCCGCGGUAAUACGGAGGGUGCGAGCGUUAAUCGGAAUUACUGGGCGUAAAGCGCACGCAGGCGGUUUGUUAAGCUAGAUGUGAAAGCCCCGAGCUCAACUUGGGAUGGUCAUUUAGAACUGGCAGACUAGAGUCUUGGAGAGGGGAGUGGAAUUCCAGGUGUAGCGGUGAAAUGCGUAGAUAUCUGGAGGAACAUCAGUGGCGAAGGCGACUCCCUGGCCAAAGACUGACGCUCAUGUGCGAAAGUGUGGGUAGCGAACAGGAUUAGAUACCCUGGUAGUCCACACCGUAAACGCUGUCUACUAGCUGUUUGUGGCUUUAAGCCGUGAGUAGCGAAGCUAACGCGAUAAGUAGACCGCCUGGGGAGUACGGCCGCAAGGUUAAAACUCAAAUGAAUUGACGGGGGCCCGCACAAGCGGUGGAGCAUGUGGUUUAAUUCGAUGCAACGCGAAGAACCUUACCUACACUUGACAUGCAGAGA
Molecule: ribosomal RNA, 924 nt
Filed under: Alteromonas sp.
Lineage: Bacteria; Pseudomonadati; Pseudomonadota; Gammaproteobacteria; Alteromonadales; Alteromonadaceae
Description: bacterial SSU rRNA
Rfam family: Bacterial small subunit ribosomal RNA
Source: RNAcentral